This 572-nucleotide ribosomal RNA is filed under the name Sticta sp. RNAcentral describes it as "mitochondrial SSU rRNA". It matches the Rfam family "Bacterial small subunit ribosomal RNA", at positions 502 to 1066 of the family's 1533-position model. Lineage: Eukaryota; Fungi; Ascomycota; Lecanoromycetes; Peltigerales; Lobariaceae. The record is from RNAcentral.
UACGUGCCAGCAGUCGCGGUAAUACGUAGAAGACAAGUGUUAUUCAUCUUUAUUAGGUUUAAAGAGUACCAAGACGGUUAAUAAAGCCCAAAAAAAAUGAAUACGGGGGACACAUUGACUAGAGUUAUAUGAAAAGAAGCUAUAAGGUACUGUUGCGUGUAGAGAUGAAAUUCUAUGAUACCAGAUAAUUGGCACAGAUUUAUGCGAAGGCAUCUUCUUAUGUAAUAACUGACGUUGUAGGACGAAGGCUUAGGAAGUGAACAGGAUUAGGUACCCCAGUAAUCUAGGCAGAAAAUGAUGAAUGUCAUAGGUUAAAUACAGACAGGUUAAAUUGACCAUCUAAUAGUAAAUAGGUGGUAUAUUAAUCAGUCAAUUAUUGUGUCUAUAAAUGAAAGUGUAAGCAUUCCACCUCAAGAGUAAUUUGGCAACAUUGGAACUGAAAUCAUUAGACCGUUUCUGAAACCAGUAGUGAAGUAUGUUGUUUAAUUAGAUGAUACACAAAAACCUUACCACAAUUUGAAUAUAUAUAAAAUAUAUUUACAAGCGCUGCACGGCUGUCUACAGUUAAUGUC